RNAcentral lists this ribosomal RNA (253 nucleotides) under uncultured bacterium. Its description in RNAcentral is "partial 16S ribosomal RNA". It matches the Rfam family "Bacterial small subunit ribosomal RNA", at positions 524 to 776 of the family's 1533-position model. The record is from RNAcentral.
UACGUAGGGUGCAAGCGUUAAUCGGAAUUACUGGGCGUAAAGCGUGCGCAGGCGGUUGUGCAAGACAGAUGUGAAAUCCCCGGGCUCAAACUGGGAACUGCAUUUGUGACUGCACGGCUGGAGUGCGGCAGAGGGGGAUGGAAUUCCGCGUGUAGCAGUGAAAUGCGUAGAUAUGCGGAGGAACACCGAUGGCGAAGGCAAUCCCCUGGGCCUGCACUGACGCUCAUGCACGAAAGCGUGGGGAGCAAACAGG